Molecule: unclassified non-coding RNA, 502 nt
Filed under: Hevea brasiliensis (rubber tree)
Lineage: Eukaryota; Viridiplantae; Streptophyta; Magnoliopsida; Malpighiales; Euphorbiaceae
Source: RNAcentral
ACCACCGCCACCGCCGCCGCCACCGCCACCGCCACCCCCAAGAAACUAGCUUUAAUCCCACUUGUUUUCCUUAUCUUCUUUGAGGUCUCCGGCGGGCCAUAUGGUGAAGAAUCCACCGUGGGUGCUGCAGGGCCUCUUUGGGCCAUAUUGGGCUUCCUCAUUUUUCCCUUUAUCUGGAGCAUCCCUGAGGCUCUCAUCACCGCCGAGCUCACCGCUGCCUUCCCCGGCAACGGCAGUUUUGUCAUCUGGGCUGACCAGGCUUUUGGGCCCUUCUGGGGUUCGCUGUUGGGCUCCUGGAAGUUCCUUACUGGUGUCCUGAACUUGGCCUCAUACCCAGUUCUUUGCAUAGAUUAUCUCAAGCUAGUGUUUCCAGUUUUCUCUACAGGUUUGCCUCACUAUGUUGCAGUAUUAGUCUUAACUUUGAUGCUAUCUUUUCUGAACUACACAGGCUUGGCUAUAGUUGGAUACACUGCAGUGACUUUGGGUGUUGUAUCCCUCUCAC